UUAAUAUUGACAACGGUUCUCUAGAAAAAAACUCUACCAUGGAAAAAAAAACACAGAGUUAUUAAACAACCAAUGCCAUAGGAAGAAAACACAUGGGAUUCCUCAACCACUAGGAGUAAAUUAAUGCGAUGGAUGGAUAGCUUUAAUGACGUUUGUACCUGCCUUUCCACCCAUACGUACUAGUAUCCAUAAAUGCAUGUAUACAUUAACAUACCUGGUUGCCCUCUAUUUAAAUACAACAUAUCUAUAUUUCUUUGCCAACCAACCUAUUCCGAUAUCUAUUUACCAAAAAUACUCAGGCAGAAAGACUGAUUUACUAGAAUUAGGGGUCAAAUGAGAGAGUAUAGGCAGCAUCUUGUCUACAUGCGGAUUGACGGCUUAUUCAGGAAAAUAAUUUGAAGCGGCUUUGGAGGCAAAUAACCCGGAAGCUUAUUACUUAGAAGGUCUAAGUUCUUGAACGCAUGGGGGUGCAAAACGGCACAGCGUGCGCCCAAACGUGGAAUGGCGCCGUCCCAGAUUGUUCAGAAAUCCAUAACAUAUACAACUGCUAUGAAGAGUAGUACAUAUUUUGGUGUUUCAAGGAAUUUUGUCACCGUUGUUAGGUAGCACUAUGAAUAAGAUCUAACAUGUUGGUCCUUCGUUAUUUUCAAAAAUAUGUUGUUGUUUUCUUUAUCCCAGUAUGUAUAAUAUGUUGUUGUUUCUUGUUU
Molecule: long non-coding RNA, 707 nt
Organism: Arabidopsis lyrata subsp. lyrata
Lineage: Eukaryota; Viridiplantae; Streptophyta; Magnoliopsida; Brassicales; Brassicaceae
Exons: 2
Source: RefSeq, a predicted model, not a curated record